CCUACGGGAGGCAGCAGUGGGGAAUCUUAGACAAUGGGGGCAACCCUGAUCUAGCCAUGCCGCGUGAGUGAUGAAGGCCUUAGGGUUGUAAAGCUCUUUCAGCUGGGAAGAUAAUGACGGUACCAGCAGAAGAAGCCCCGGCUAACUCCGUGCC
This 154-nucleotide ribosomal RNA is filed under the name uncultured bacterium. RNAcentral's name for it is "partial 16S ribosomal RNA". It matches the Rfam family "Bacterial small subunit ribosomal RNA", at positions 338 to 509 of the family's 1533-position model. The record is from RNAcentral.